Molecule: ribosomal RNA, 3192 nt
Filed under: Triticum aestivum (bread wheat)
Lineage: Eukaryota; Viridiplantae; Streptophyta; Magnoliopsida; Poales; Poaceae
Description: partial small subunit ribosomal RNA
Source: RNAcentral
AUGCGCGUCACGGUGGCCAACGGCGAGCGCGUUCCGUGCCAGGGCGCGUACCGCGUCGUGCCCUUCCGCAUCGGCCACGAGGAGUUCGCGGAGGAUUUCCUCGCCUUGCCGCUCGCGGGCUACGACAUCGUCCUGGGCACGCAGUGGUUGGCGUCGCUCGGACCGAUCCUGUGGGAUUUCCGAGCCCUCUCCAUGACAUUCUGGCGGCGGGGCCAUCGGGUGUGCUGGCACGGCAUUGCAGGACCGGACGGGCCAGCCCUAAAAUCAUGCAGCGGCCGCGACUUCCUGGACGCCAUCAUCACCGAGUUCGACGGCAUCUUCGCCGACCCCUCCGGCGUGCCACCGCCCCGCAGCCGCGAUCACGGCAUCACCCUGCUACCUGGUUCCGCCCCGGUGGCCGUCCGUCCGUAUCGAUACCCGGCCGCGCACAAGGACGAGCUGGAGCGUCAGUGCGCCGCCAUGCUCGCCCAAGGUAUCAUCUGUGCGAGUUGUUCCGCAUUCUCGUCCCCGGUACUGCUGGUCCGCAAGGCCGACGGGUCCUGGCGCUUCUGCAUCGAUUAUCGCGCCCUGAACGCCAUUACUGUCAAGAAUGCGUUCCCGAUUCCGGUGGUGGACGAACUCCUCGACGAGCUACGGCACGCUCGUUUCUUCACCAAGCUCGAUUUACGUUCCGGCUACCACCAGGUGCGGAUGCGUGCGGAGGACAUCCCGAAGACAGCUUUCCGUACUCAUGACGGCCUCUACGAGUUUCUGGUGAUGCCGUUCGGACUCUGCAACGCGCCGGCCACGUUCCAGGCCCUCAUGAAUGAUCUGCUGCGGCCAUACCUGCGCCGUUUUGUUCUCGUCUUCUUUGACGACAUCCUCAUUUUCAGCGAGACAUGGGCUGACCAUCUCCGACAUGUGCGCACCGUCUUCACGGUCCUGCACCAGCACCGGCUCUUCGUCAAGCGCUCCAAAUGCGUGUUCGCCGUUGAAUCAAUCGCAUACCUGGGUCACACCAUCUCCGCUGCAGGCGUGGCCAUGGAUCCGGAAAAGGUGCAGGCAGUGGCGGACUGGCCGCAACCACGCUCGGCGCGCGCGGUUUGGGGCUUUCUCGGCCUUGCGGUGUACUACCGCAAGUUUGUCAAGGACUUUGGCGUGGUUGCCGCGCCCCUGACGGCCCUCCUUCGCAAGGAUGGUUUCUCUUGGUCGCCGGAGGCGGCAGCAGCUUUUAACACCCUCAAGACGGCAAUCACCACGGCUCCCGUCCUCGCGUUACCGGAUUUUACACGGCCGUUCAUCGUCGAGUGUGACGCAUCGACGUACGGUUUCGGGGCCGUCCUUCUUCAGGACCACCACCCGGUGGCUUUCUUUAGCCGGCCAGCCGCGCCACGUCACCGUUCCCUGGCAGCGUAUGAACGGGAACUCAUCGGCCUGGUGCUCGCGAUUCGCCAUUGGAGGCCGUACCUAUGGGGGCGUCAGUUUGUGGUAAAAACGGAUCAUUACAGCCUCAAAUUUCUGCUUGACCAGCGUUUGGCCACCAUCCCGCAGCAUCAUUGGGUUGGCAAACUCCUGGGAUUCGACUUUACGGUGGAGUACAAGGCAGGUAGUACCAACACGGUGGCGGAUGCACUUUCCCGCCGUGACACAGAGGAGACGACGAUCAUGGCGGUCUCAGGGCCUCGUUUCGACUUCAUCAAUCGCCUCCGGCAAGCGACGUCCACUGAUCCGGCGCUCGUCACACUGCGGGAGGAUAUCACGGCAGGUGCGCGGCAACAGCCUUGGGCGCUCUCCGACGGCCUCGUUACUUUCAACGGCCGCCUCUACAUUCCGCCGUCAUCCCCGCUACUCCAGGAGAUUCUCAGUGCCGUGCACGAUGAUGGGCAUGAAGGCGUCCUGCGCACAUUGCAUCGUCUCCGCCGCGAUUUCCACGCACCUAACCUUCGCAAGACGGUGCAGGAGUACGUCCGCACUUGCGGUACUUGCCAGCGGUACAAGUCCGAGCACUUGCACCCCGCUGGGCUGCUACUGCCGCUGCCGGUACCCACGGGCGUGUGGACUGACAUCGGCAUCGACUUCGUGGAAGCGCUUCCUCGAGUAGGCGGGAAGUCUGUCAUCCUCACCGUGGUGGAUCGCUUCAGCAAGUAUUGCCAUUUUGUGGCGUUAGCCCACCCAUACACGGCAGAGUCAGUGGCACAGGUGUUCUUCGCUGAGGUUGUUCGUCUCCAUGGCGUGCCGCAGUCCAUGGUCUCUGACCGCGACCCCGUCUUCACCUCCGCUUUUUGGCGAGAGCUCAUGCGCCUCAUGGGGACAAAGCUGCACAUGACGUCAGCAUUUCACCCGCAGUCGGACGGUCAAACGGAGGCUGCUAACAAGAUCAUUGUGAUGUAUUUACGGUGUCUUACCGGGGAUCGUCCCAAGCAGUGGCUCCGGUGGCUUCCCUGGGCUGAGUACAUAUACAACACCGCCUACCAGACAGCAACCCAAGAGACUCCGUUCAAGCUUGUGUAUGGCCGUGACCCUCCCACUAUUCGCUCUUACGAGCCCGGCGACACACGGGUGGCUGCAGUGGCCAGGAGCAUGGCUGAGCGCGACGAACUUAUCGAGGACGUCCGCUAUCGUCUACAACAGGCACAGGCGGUCUAUAAGUCCUACUACGACAGACGUCAUCGGGACAUUCGGCAUGAGGUGGGCGAUUGGGUUUGGCUUCGCCUUCGACAGCGCGCCGCGUCCUCUCUCAACUUGCCAACCAGGGGCAAGCUCAAGCCACGAUUCUAUGGGCCGUACCGCAUUUCAGAAGUGAUCAACGACGUGGCAUACCGUCUUGAGCUUCCGGCACGCUCGCGCCUCCAUGACGUGUUCCACGUGGGCCUCCUCAAGAAGUUCUUCGGCAUUCCUCCAACUACACCGCCGGGAUUGCCUUCGAUCCACAACGGGGCGGCUGUUCCAGAACCAGAGCGCGUGACUCGUGCGUGCCUAGCACGCGGCGUUCGCCAGCUACUCGUCCACUGGAAGGGUGAAGCAGCUUCGUCAGCUACAUGGGAGGAUCUUGACAGUUUCGUCGAGCGCUACCCCGCUUUUCAGCUCGAGGACGAGCUGCUCGUCGAGGGGGGGAGAGAUGUCAUGUGGGGCACGUCUUACAGACGUGGGCCGCGCGGCCAGGAGCAGCCGACGGCCGCAUCAGGCAAGGCGCAGGCUGGACAGGAGGCCUGA